RNAcentral lists this ribosomal RNA (254 nucleotides) under uncultured bacterium. RNAcentral's name for it is "partial 16S ribosomal RNA". It matches the Rfam family "Bacterial small subunit ribosomal RNA", at positions 524 to 776 of the family's 1533-position model. The record is from RNAcentral.
UACGGGGGGAGCAAGCGUUGUUCGGAUUUACUGGGCGUAAAGGGCGCGUAGGCGGCCUGUGCAAGUCAGUUGUGAAAUCUCCGGGCUUAACUCGGAACGGUCAACUGAUACUGCUCGGCUAGAGUGCGGAAGGGGCAACUGGAAUUCCUGGUGUAGCGGUGAAAUGCGCAGAUAUCAGGAGGAACACCAAUGGCGAAGGCAGCACUCUGGGCCGGUACUGACGCUGAGGAGCGAAAGCGUGGGGAGCAAACAGG